AACGAACGCUGGCGGCAGGCCUCAAACAUGCAAGUCUAGGGGGUAGCAAUACCACCGGCGGACGGGUGCGUAACGCGUGGGAACAUACCUUUCGGUACGGAACAACUGCGGGAAACUGCAGCUAAUACCGUAUACGCCCUUACGUGGAAAGAUUUAUCGCAGAAGGAGUGGCCCGCGUUCGAUUAGCUAGUUGGUGGGGUAAAAGCUAACCAAGGCUACGAUAGAUAGCUGUUUUGAGAGGAAGAUCAGCCACACUGGGCCUGAGACACGGCCAAGACUCCGACGGGAGGCAGCAGUUGGGAAUCUUGGAAAAUGGGGGAAACCCUGAUCCAGCCAUGCCGCGUGAGUGAUGAAGGCCUUCGGGUUGUAAAACUCUUUCGACGGGGACGAUAAUGACGGUACCCGUAGAAGAAGCUCCGGCUAACUUCGUGCCAGCAGCCGCCGUAA
This 447-nucleotide ribosomal RNA is filed under the name uncultured bacterium. Its description in RNAcentral is "partial 16S ribosomal RNA". It matches the Rfam family "Bacterial small subunit ribosomal RNA", at positions 29 to 523 of the family's 1533-position model. The record is from RNAcentral.